RNAcentral lists this ribosomal RNA (447 nucleotides) under uncultured Methanolinea sp. RNAcentral describes it as "bacterial SSU rRNA". It matches the Rfam family "Archaeal small subunit ribosomal RNA", at positions 892 to 1338 of the family's 1478-position model. The record is from RNAcentral. Lineage: Archaea; Methanobacteriati; Methanobacteriota; Methanomicrobia; Methanomicrobiales; Methanoregulaceae.
AGCCUGCGGUUUAAUUGGACUCAACGCCGGGCAGCUCACCGGAUAAGACAGCUGGAUGAUAGCCGGGCUGAAGACUCUGCUUGACUAGCUGAGAGGAGGUGCAUGGCCGUCGUCAGUUCGUACUGUGAAGCAUCCUGUUAAGUCAGGCAACGAGCGAGACCCACGCCAACAGUUGCCAGCAUGUCCUCCGGGAUGAUGGGGACACUGUUGGGACCGCCUCUGCUAAAGAGGAGGAAGGAAUGGGCAACGGUAGGUCAGCAUGCCCCGAAUUAUCCGGGCUACACGCGGGCUACAAUGGUCAGGACAAUGGGUAUCGACACCGAGAGGUGGAGGCAAUCUCCUAAACCUGUCCUUAGUUCGGAUUGUGGGCUGCAACUCGCCCACAUGAAGCUGGAAUCCGUAGUAAUCGCGUUUCAAAAUAGCGCGGUGAAUAUGUCCCUGCUCCUU